Non-coding RNA from Triticum aestivum (bread wheat), 135 nucleotides. The record is from Rfam. Lineage: Eukaryota; Viridiplantae; Streptophyta; Magnoliopsida; Poales; Poaceae.
GUAGCAUUCCCUCCAUCCCAAAAAUUUUGUCUUACAUUUGUUUAGAUACGGAUGUAUCUAACACUAAAAUGUAACUAGAUACAUCCGUAUUUAGACAAAUUUAAGACAAGAAUUUUGGGACGGAGGGAGUAUAAA